AAAUCAAUGUAAUUAAACGGCUUGGAAGCAAAAAGGUCAUAGAUAAUAUUAGUGUGAUCGCCUAAAACUAGUGGAUUAAAACCAAAGUUAUUGUCUUGGUUAGUAGAGUAAAACUCCAACUCUAACACGUUUUUAAAAAUUUGCUUAGCAACAUUAAUCGAGUGGUAGUCACCAUAAAUUGACACCUUUUUAACGCUUUCUGGUAAUUCCAAAUCCUUUAAGGUAGAACCAUCACCAGUUAAACCAUUAAUGAUGACGUAAUCAGGAUUACGUUGUUUUAAAUUGAGGUUAAUGCCGUCAGUA
RNAcentral lists this small RNA (303 nucleotides) under Mycoplasmoides pneumoniae M129. RNAcentral's name for it is "Mycoplasma pneumoniae M129 ncRNA". Lineage: Bacteria; Bacillati; Mycoplasmatota; Mycoplasmoidales; Mycoplasmoidaceae. The record is from RNAcentral.